This 535-nucleotide ribosomal RNA is filed under the name Penicillium commune. Its description in RNAcentral is "eukaryotic LSU rRNA". The stretch from base 201 to 353 matches the Rfam family "5.8S ribosomal RNA". Lineage: Eukaryota; Fungi; Ascomycota; Eurotiomycetes; Eurotiales; Aspergillaceae. The record is from RNAcentral.
GGUGAACCUGCGGAAGGAUCAUUACCGAGUGAGGGCCCUCUGGGUCCAACCUCCCACCCGUGUUUAUUUUACCUUGUUGCUUCGGCGGGCCCGCCUUAACUGGCCGCCGGGGGGCUCACGCCCCCGGGCCCGCGCCCGCCGAAGACACCCUCGAACUCUGUCUGAAGAUUGAAGUCUGAGUGAAAAUAUAAAUUAUUUAAAACUUUCAACAACGGAUCUCUUGGUUCCGGCAUCGAUGAAGAACGCAGCGAAAUGCGAUACGUAAUGUGAAUUGCAAAUUCAGUGAAUCAUCGAGUCUUUGAACGCACAUUGCGCCCCCUGGUAUUCCGGGGGGCAUGCCUGUCCGAGCGUCAUUGCUGCCCUCAAGCCCGGCUUGUGUGUUGGGCCCCGUCCUCCGAUCUCCGGGGGACGGGCCCGAAAGGCAGCGGCGGCACCGCGUCCGGUCCUCGAGCGUAUGGGGCUUUGUCACCCGCUCUGUAGGCCCGGCCGGCGCUUGCCGAUCAACCCAAAUUUUUAUCCAGGUGACCUCGGAUCA